This 216-nucleotide ribosomal RNA is filed under the name Glomeromycotina sp. RNAcentral describes it as "partial small subunit ribosomal RNA". The stretch from base 75 to 216 matches the Rfam family "Eukaryotic small subunit ribosomal RNA", at positions 721 to 864 of the family's 1831-position model. The record is from RNAcentral. Lineage: Eukaryota; Fungi; Glomeromycota.
GGGUCAGUAGGUUGGUCGUGCCACCGGUACGUACUGGUCUCACUGAUUCCUCCUUCCUGAGGAACCGUAAUGCCAUUAAUUUGGUGUUGCGGGGAAACAGGACUGUUACUUUGAAAAAAUUAGAGUGCUUAAAGCAAGCUAACGCUUGAAUACAUUAGCAUGGAAUAAUAAAAUAGGACGAUCGAUCCUAUUUUGUUGGUUUCUAGGAUUGACGUA